RNAcentral lists this ribosomal RNA (782 nucleotides) under Coremiella sp. RWB. Its description in RNAcentral is "eukaryotic LSU rRNA". It matches the Rfam family "Eukaryotic large subunit ribosomal RNA", at positions 120 to 919 of the family's 3401-position model. The record is from RNAcentral. Lineage: Eukaryota; Fungi; Ascomycota.
AUCUGGCUCUUUUAGAGUCCGAAUUGUAAUUUGUAGAAGAUGCUUCGGGUGUGGUUCCGGUCUAAGUUCCUUGGAACAGGACGUCAUAGAGGGUGAGAAUCCCGUAUGUGACUGGAUACCUAUGCUCAUGUGAAGCUCUUUCGACGAGUCGAGUUGUUUGGGAAUGCAGCUCAAAAUGGGAGGUAUAUUUCUUCUAAAGCUAAAUAUUGGCCAGAGACCGAUAGCGCACAAGUAGAGUGAUCGAAAGAUGAAAAGCACUUUGGAAAGAGAGUUAAACAGUACGUGAAAUUGUUGAAAGGGAAGCGCUUGCAAUCAGACUUGCACUUGGUGUUCAUCAGGAUCUCGUAUCCUGUGUACUUCAUCAAGUUCAGGCCAGCAUCAGUUUGAGUGGUUAGAUAAAGGCUUAGAGAAUGUGGCCCUCUUCGGGGGGUGUUAUAGCUCUAGGUGCAAUGUAGCCUACUUGGACUGAGGACCGCGCUUCGGCUAGGAUGCUGGCGUAAUGGUUGUAAGCGACCCGUCUUGAAACACGGACCAAGGAGUGUACCUAAUAUGCGAGUGUUUGGGUGUUAAACCCAUACGCGUAAUGAAAGUGAACGCUGGUGAGAACCCUUAAGGGUGCAUCAUCGACCGAUCUUGAUGUCUUCGGAUGGAUUUGAGUAAGAGCAUAUUGGGUGCGACCCGAAAGAUGGUGAUCUAUACGUGAAUAGGGUGAAGCCAGAGGAAACUCUGGUGGAGGCUCGCAGCGGUUCUGACGUGCAAAUCGAUCGUCAAAUUUGCGUAUA